This 201-nucleotide unclassified non-coding RNA is filed under the name Hevea brasiliensis (rubber tree). The record is from RNAcentral. Lineage: Eukaryota; Viridiplantae; Streptophyta; Magnoliopsida; Malpighiales; Euphorbiaceae.
GGAAAUUCAGAGUAAUGUCCAAAGAUACUACUGAAAGGCGAUGUCCCGAUCUACUGCAAUAUCAGUCAUCCCCAUCAAGUUAUGGGUGCAUGUCUUUGUUGAAAAGAAAGCGUUCCGGAGAUCUAUUUGCAGGCAGCGGACCACGUGUUGUUGGAAAAAGAACUCCUCGUAUCCCGGUUUCGAAUAUGUCCGAGAGGGUUA